RNAcentral lists this ribosomal RNA (491 nucleotides) under uncultured bacterium. RNAcentral's name for it is "partial 16S ribosomal RNA". It matches the Rfam family "Bacterial small subunit ribosomal RNA", at positions 29 to 507 of the family's 1533-position model. The record is from RNAcentral.
GUGAACGCUGGCGGUAGGCCUAACACAUGCAAGUCGAACGGCAGCACAGUAAGAGCUUGCUCUUACGGGUGGCGAGUGGCGGACGGGUGAGGAAUACAUCGGAAUCUACUUUUUCGUGGGGGAUAACGUAGGGAAACUUACGCUAAUACCGCAUACGACCUACGGGUGAAAGCAGGGGAUCUUCGGACCUUGCGCGAUUGAAUGAGCCGAUGUCGGAUUAGCUAGUUGGCGGGGUAAGGGCCCACCAAGGCGACGAUCCGUAGCUGGUCUGAGAGGAUGAUCAGCCACACUGGAACUGAGACACAGUCCAGACUCCUACGGGAGGCAGCAGUGGGGAAUAUUGGACAAUGGGCGCAAGCCUGAUCCAGCCAUACCGCGUGGGUGAAGAAGGCCUUCGGGUUGUAAAGCCCUUUUGUUGGGAAAGAAAAGCAGCAGGUUAAUACCCCGCUGUUCUGACGGUACCCAAAGAAUAAGCACCGGCUAACUUCGCG